This 890-nucleotide long non-coding RNA is filed under the name Homo sapiens (human). RNAcentral describes it as "non-protein coding lnc-EPB42-5:1". The record is from RNAcentral. Lineage: Eukaryota; Metazoa; Chordata; Mammalia; Primates; Hominidae.
UGGAAGCUUUGUUCUUUACCUCUUUGCAGUAACUCUUGCUUCUGCUCACUGUUUGGGUCCACACUGCCUUUAUGAGCUGUAACACUCACCGCGAAGGUGUACAGCUUCACUGCUGAAGCCCCCGAAACCACGAACCCACCAGGAAGAACGAAUAACUCCAGACGCGCCCCCUUAAGAGCUGUAACACUCACCGCGAAGGUCUGCAGCUUCACUCCUGAGCCAGCGAGACCACGAACCCACCAGAAGGAACAAACUCCGAACACAUCAGAACAUGAGAAGGAACAAACUCCGGACACGCGGCCUUUAAGAACUGUAACACUCACUGCGAGGGUCGGCGGCUUCAUUCUUGAAGUCAGUGAGACCAAGUACCCACCAAUUCCGGACACACUAUUAGCUAGCUAACUCCUAUUUAUCCUCCCUUAAAUAUCACCUUCUGAGAGAAGCCUACCCUGACCGUCCACACCUGGGUCCAAGAGCACUCAAACUUCUUUUUUACAGCAUUUGGCACACUUGACAGAGAAAUAGCUAAUGGUGUACGCACUUAGUAUUGUUUGUCUCCCCCUGCUGGAAUAGAAGCUCCUUGGUGGCAGAGACGCGUCUAUAGAGCUUUACUGCUGUACCACCAGUAUCUAACGCGGUUCCUAACAGUUCCUAACGGUACCUCAGAAAGUGCCCCGACUGAAAUACUGCCAGAGACUGGAUCUCUGUGAAGCUCUCAUGGGAACUGUACCGGGAAAGAGAAGAUUCUCUUUGCUAGAACCAGAAGGAGAACACAUUCCCCAAAGGGAGACCAGCCCACAACCUCCCCAUUGCUCUCCUAGAUAAAUUGCAGAUGCACGUGUUCUCUCUAUUAUCAAAACAGCCCAUGAACAUCUUGCAACUUGCAGCCC